ACAACAUGAACUUGGAAGCAGAAUUUCAGGCCAAGAUGGAACCUCCCCGUCUCAGGAAGGCGAUUUCUGUUUAAUCCUUGGGAGGCUGCGCUGGCUGGGCCAGGCAGCACGCUCCUUUUCCGAUUAGGGAAAGGACUAAGCUGGGCCGGCAGUCUGCGACCCCUUCCCGGAACCCCAGCCGACUUCGGGGUAUACCUGAGCGCCUUCCGAUGGCUGCUCGCGGGGGUGUGAUCAUCGUCCCCGCAUCAGGCCCGCCAGGCAUCUGCGCGACUCGGGGGUAGGAGGGAGAUGCGUGGGUGGGAGGUGGGGGUCAAACCAAACACCGACAGGGCACACCUACGUUUAUGAUCCUUAAAUGAACUGCGAGGGAAAUUGUGUAAGUAUAAUUUAACUGAGAGAAAUUUAUUGCGAAAUACGCUUAGAGGACUGUGGUCUUUAACAGCCUCAGGGGUUCUUCGGCAAAGAGGUAACGGGGCUUGGAUUUACCACAACUCUGCGGCCACGUUUUCAAAUUUGGAAAAGAUGAGAAAAGAAGGUUCAGGCGAUUUAUGCGAGAAAGGGCCAAUUUGAACACUGGUAACUAGUGGGAGAAAUAAACUUAUAAGCCACAAACACAUCGGUUCGCAACCGAGCCCACAGCCCCGCGAGGCGCCCCUUCUUCCCAGCUCCCGGAGGAUAACUUCAUUGACUGGCAGGUCGGCGGCCACUUCUGGGAGGGCCACUGUUUACCGAAUGAGAACCUCUCAUGGCACAGUCCUUACAGCAGGGCUGCCCUGUCGCCCUUGCGCGUCCGGGUGCCGGGUCCCGGCGGUGUUCUGCAGCGCGAUCCGGUCCCCGUGCCCUGAGCCACCCAGAGCCCUGGGCCUGCCUGCACCCUGGGGCGCGCUGACUCCCUGGGUCGGGUGGGGGUCCCGGCAGGAUGCACUUCCAGCUGCGGGGUCCGCGGAGUUUGCUCGCACCUGGUUUGGCGCAGGGACGUAGGUUUGGGGGACUGUGUCCCCUGGGAAGAGCAAAAGGUGAAAAGGUCCCCUCUCCCACCAGUGUGCCCCAUCCCCGCCAGUUUUGACUGCGAUCCUAUUUUUCUCUUUGGGGGUCGCCUCAGCCUGUGCCGGAGGGAGUUGGGAGUUGGUCAGGCUUGGGCAGCGGUGGGUGGCAGCCCGGGAGCCGGAGCAGGAGCGCGAGGACCCGCGGACUGGGGCGCAGCGACGAUGGCGCACCGGCUUCUGUCUUCUGCUGCUUUGGGGCUGAGCAUCCGAGGGCGCCUUUCUCCCCAGCUGGACUCGGGGACGCCGGAUCACCCCGCCACCUGCCUCUUGGCCUAAUUCUGGAAGCUUCUCGCCUCCGUUCCUGGACGGCUCUUCCUCAGGGGCAGCAAUGAGCCCCGGGGUGCGCUCAUCUCCUCCGAGAUCAAUUGCUCUACGAUUCCUUUUAGGACUUGCAGGGGGGAGAGGUUGGGGACCCCGGCCCCAGAGUGGCUCCUGCGGCACGGCGGCCCACUCGGAGGGGUCGCAACAAGCGCGCAUUUGUGGCCAAGGUUGUGAUUUCAGGUGCGCUAAUGGGAUCAGACGUCCUGGGAGAAGCGUGAGGGGAUUGGUGCCGUUCCUUCUCCCGGCUUCCAGCGGCCGCCGGGUGGAAGUGGGGACACAGGAGGGCCGCGCUACGGGCGCCCAGCGCGGGCGCUCACACCUCUUGAGGAGGCGUGGAACCCAGCGCCCCAGGUGGGGGUAGGGCGCGGGGGUAUAGGUAGUGAGGGGUGACGCUGGGAGAGGACCGGGAGACGGAGGAAAGGAGACAGCCGGGGACACUACUGAGAGAGGGAGUAAGAGAGUGCGCUGCAGAACCGGGGACAGAGCGGCAGAACCGACCGAGAGCUGGAAUUGGAUUGCGUCCUGUCCCAGCACCAGGACACAGAUAAACAGCCUCCCAGCACUGGUACUCGCCAGAGAAGGGGAAACCCGCGUCCCGCGCUGCUGCUUUCUGCUUCGGAGAACCUUAUCUAGACUUUUGCAUAAUUGCGUGUUGGCUUUCCUAAAUAAUUCGGAAGAGCGAUUUCUGCUUCCACUUGUUCACAUAGGCAAACAAUCCCUGUGGGGAAAAUGUGUGUGUGUGUGUGUGUGUGUGCGCGCGCGCGCGCGCGCGUUCCGGUGACAAUUGAGGCCAGAGGCAAACACAUCCUCUUUCAAAAUGUCCCUUAGGUGAUCCCGUAAAUGACUGUCCUGCUCUAGGCAGUGGGAGUCAUCAUCCACUGGGUAGGGGGCUGUGAUUACUCUGCCUAGGGACCACUUUUCACAGCUCCUUCCCCACCGUAGAUAAGGGUGUUAAAUCAAGGCAUUUAGUUCUACUUUUCCAUUGCACAGAUAAGCAAGCUGAGACCCAGAUAGGUUAAGUGAAGUAUCCAAUUUCUUCUCUCCUUUUCUUUUCUGUAUGCCUCAAGAUGGUUUUAUACACACACACACACACACACAUACAUACACACACACACACACCCUGAACUACGAAAAACAUCACAACUACGGAAGAAACAUUUUUUACUCUUCUUAUUUCCUAAGAAGACCAAAAGUCAGAGCUUGUCUUCUGUCAGAAGCAGAUGGGUGUGUGAUGGCAGUGUGUGAGUGUGCAAGUGUGGGGGGGCUGGGCGUUGGCGCCAUCCUUCCUCCUUCCCUGCUCCAUCCCUGACUCCAUCACCGAGCCCCUUCAGGGAAACACAAGGCAGGAGGUUGUACCGCUAUGCAGAAGACCCCUCCAGGUAGGGAGCUUGAAGAAAUGAAACAGCAGGGAGAACCUGUAUUUGGUGGUGAAAGUGCUGGAAUCUUCUAGGCCUUGCUCAUCUCCAACCAGCUACUUCUCCAAAAUAAAGCAAAACAAAACAAAACAAAACAAGGCAAACAACAACCACCACAGGCCUUUUGCAUCAACUUCCUGUGACUAAGUGACCCUAAGCAGAGAACUGGCUCAGGUCACUUAGGGCAGGGGUAGGACAUUGAAGGCCUUAUUUACUCCAGGAUUAAAAACAGCAUCCCCUCUAACCCUGUCUCUCUUGGGCAGCCUGUCUUUUAAGGAUGUGAAAAGCAGCUUCUUGGAGUCUAAACAGGCACAAUACCCCACUGGGAUGUUUAGGUAUCAGGUUCACAAAAACAGCAUUUUACUCCUGCUUCCCCGAACCCCUUUGCAACCCAGGCUACCAUACUCUUUGCAAGAAUAUCCGGUAUCUUUUCCGGGCAAAAUGAAUUGAGUUGGCACUUCCUGAAAUAUUUUUAUUUUUAGCUUCAAAUAAUUUUGCUCCUAAAACAAAUUAGUUACUUAUCCUCUUCUCACCAUGCCCUAAUUAUUUUUAGCUUUAUUCUAAUUUUUUUUGUUACCUU
This 3362-nucleotide long non-coding RNA is filed under the name Homo sapiens (human). Its description in RNAcentral is "HSALNT0303155". Lineage: Eukaryota; Metazoa; Chordata; Mammalia; Primates; Hominidae. The record is from RNAcentral.